Sphingomonas paucimobilis NBRC 13935 is the source of this 100-nucleotide non-coding RNA. Lineage: Bacteria; Pseudomonadati; Pseudomonadota; Alphaproteobacteria; Sphingomonadales; Sphingomonadaceae. The record is from Rfam.
AGGCAAGUUAGGUGUUGUACCGGUACACGCGUCAGCGCGUUCCGGUACAACACGGUCCUUACUUGCCUCCGGCUCGACGGUAUCUUGGCUCUGCGAGGCG